AGACUUUGACUUUCCUGCCUUGUCAAUAUCUUCAAUGGUCUGAUCCUCUACAAAGAUCACAUCACAGCUUCUGACAAGUUUCUUUUCAACUGGAUCAUAAAACCUGUAGCCAAACUCAUUUAGACCAUAUCAAAUGAAGAUGCAUUGCCUUGUCUUGGCAUCUAACUUGGAUCUCUCAUCUUUAGGGACAUGCACAAAGCAUUUGCAGCCAAAAACAAGUAAAUGGUCAUAGGAAACAUCCCUACCAUACCUCAACCUGUUAG
This 263-nucleotide unclassified non-coding RNA is filed under the name Hevea brasiliensis (rubber tree). Lineage: Eukaryota; Viridiplantae; Streptophyta; Magnoliopsida; Malpighiales; Euphorbiaceae. The record is from RNAcentral.